UAGGGAAUCUUCCGCAAUGGACGCAAGUCUGACGGAGCAACGCCGCGUGAGUGAUGAAGGUCUUCGGAUCGUAAAACUCUGUUAUUAGGGAAGAACAAAUGUGUAAGUAACUAUGCACGUCUUGACGGUACCUAAUCAGAAAGCCACGGCUAACUACGUGCCAGCAGCCGCGGUAAUACGUAGGUGGCAAGCGUUAUCCGGAAUUAUUGGGCGUAAAGCGCGCGUAGGCGGUUUUUUAAGUCUGAUGUGAAAGCCCACGGCUCAACCGUGGAGGGUCAUUGGAAACUGGUUGACUUGAGUGCAGAAGAGGGGAGUGGAAUUCCAUGUGUAGCGGUGAAAUGCGUAGAUAUAUGGAGGAACACCAGUGGCGAAGGCGACUCUCUGGUCUGUAACUGACGCUGAGGCUCGAAAGCGUGGGUAGCAAACAGG
RNAcentral lists this ribosomal RNA (429 nucleotides) under Bacteroidota bacterium. Its description in RNAcentral is "Bacteroidetes bacterium partial 16S ribosomal RNA". It matches the Rfam family "Bacterial small subunit ribosomal RNA", at positions 355 to 776 of the family's 1533-position model. The record is from RNAcentral. Lineage: Bacteria; Pseudomonadati; Bacteroidota.